GUUGCUGACUUGAAGGAUGUAGUUGUCAACUAAAAAGAACCAAAACUCAAGAUUAGCAUGGCCCCUGCACAAGGAUGGCACGCAAAUUCAUGAAGCAAAGACCUUUAAC
Molecule: small nuclear RNA, 109 nt
Organism: Otolemur garnettii (small-eared galago)
Lineage: Eukaryota; Metazoa; Chordata; Mammalia; Primates; Galagidae
Source: Ensembl